RNAcentral lists this ribosomal RNA (254 nucleotides) under uncultured bacterium. RNAcentral describes it as "partial 16S ribosomal RNA". It matches the Rfam family "Bacterial small subunit ribosomal RNA", at positions 524 to 776 of the family's 1533-position model. The record is from RNAcentral.
UACGUAGGGUCCAAGCGUUAUCCGGAAUCACUGGGCGUAAAGCGUGCGUAGGCGGCUUCUCACGUGCAAUGCGAAAUCCUCCCGCUCAACGGGAUGGACUGUAUUGCAUACGGGGUUGCUAGAGGAUGGCAGAGGCAAGUGGAAUUACCGGUGUAGGAGUGAAAUCCGUAGAUAUCGGUAGGAACACCAAUGGCGAAGGCAGCUUGCUGGGCCAUUUCUGACGCUAAGGCACGAAAGCGUGGGGAGCGAACAGG